This 408-nucleotide ribosomal RNA is filed under the name uncultured bacterium. RNAcentral's name for it is "partial 16S ribosomal RNA". It matches the Rfam family "Bacterial small subunit ribosomal RNA", at positions 28 to 526 of the family's 1533-position model. The record is from RNAcentral.
GACGAACGCUGGCGGCGUGCUUAACACAUGCAAGUCGAACGGAGUGGCGAACGGGUGAGUAACACGUGGGUGAUCUGCCCUGCACUUCGGGAUAAGCCUGGGAAACUGGGUCUAAUACCGGAUAGUGUAGGAUGAGCUCGCGGCCUAUAAGCCUGUUGGUGGGGUAAUGGCCUAACAAGGAGGCGACGGGUAGCCGGCCUGAGAGGGUGGACGGCAACAGUGGGACUGAGAGACGGCCCAGACUGCAACGGGAGGCAGCAGUGGGGAAUAUUGCAGAAUGGGCGCAAGUCUGAUGCAGCGACGCCGGGUGGGUGAGGUCGGCCUUCGGGUUGUAAACUCCUUUCGCUAGGGACGCGGUACCUAGAUAAGAAGCACCGGCUAACUACGUGCCAGCAGCCGCGGUAAUAC